UGGAUUGUACAUCUAGCAUCAUGCC
This 25-nucleotide non-coding RNA is filed under the name Mus musculus (house mouse). Lineage: Eukaryota; Metazoa; Chordata; Mammalia; Rodentia; Muridae. The record is from RNAcentral.